Molecule: ribosomal RNA, 170 nt
Filed under: Lota lota (burbot)
Lineage: Eukaryota; Metazoa; Chordata; Actinopteri; Gadiformes; Lotidae
Description: partial small subunit ribosomal RNA
Source: RNAcentral
CACCGCGGUUAUACGAGAGGCCCAAGUUGAUGAAAAACGGCGUAAAGCGUGGUUAAGAAAACAAGAAAAAUAGGGCCGAACAGCCUCAAAGCAGUUAUACGCAUUCGAGGCCACGAAGCUCAAUCACGAAAGUGGCCCUACAAAUCUCUGAUUCCACGAAAGCCAUAAAA